Molecule: transfer RNA, 76 nt
Filed under: Acinetobacter sp. F_3_1
Lineage: Bacteria; Pseudomonadati; Pseudomonadota; Gammaproteobacteria; Moraxellales; Moraxellaceae
Description: tRNA-Glu
Rfam family: tRNA
About the family: Transfer RNA (tRNA) molecules are approximately 80 nucleotides in length. Their secondary structure includes four short double-helical elements and three loops (D, anti-codon, and T loops).
Source: RNAcentral
GACCCUAUCGUCUAGAGGCCUAGGACCUCGCCCUUUCACGGCGGUAACCGGGGUUCGAAUCCCCGUAGGGACGCCA